GUGAAUCAUCAAAUUUUUGAACGCAAAUUGCACUUUCUGGUAUUCCGGAAAGUAUGCCUGUUUGAGGGUCAGUUAAAUAAAAAAUCGGGGUGUUGGCGGCCUUUCUUGUUGACGGGUCGGAAUGGGGUCGUCUUACUUUCGGUUAAGGGACUUAAAAUUUUUGAAGGAUUUUCAGGGGUAUUUAAAUGCCUUACGUACGUUUGAGAUAUC
RNAcentral lists this unclassified non-coding RNA (210 nucleotides) under Glomus sp. RNAcentral describes it as "partial contains 5.8S ribosomal RNA and internal transcribed spacer 2". The stretch from base 1 to 71 matches the Rfam family "5.8S ribosomal RNA", at positions 84 to 154 of the family's 154-position model. The record is from RNAcentral. Lineage: Eukaryota; Fungi; Glomeromycota; Glomeromycetes; Glomerales; Glomeraceae.